This 71-nucleotide transfer RNA is filed under the name Candidatus Omnitrophota bacterium. RNAcentral's name for it is "tRNA-Ser". It matches the Rfam family "tRNA". Rfam says of the family: Transfer RNA (tRNA) molecules are approximately 80 nucleotides in length. Their secondary structure includes four short double-helical elements and three loops (D, anti-codon, and T loops). The record is from RNAcentral. Lineage: Bacteria; Pseudomonadati; Candidatus Omnitrophota.
GCCCCGGUGGUGUAAUGGUUAACACACAUCUCCGACGAAUGAGAUUGCGGGUUCGAAUCCCGCCUGGGGCA